This 116-nucleotide small nuclear RNA is filed under the name Myotis davidii. Lineage: Eukaryota; Metazoa; Chordata; Mammalia; Chiroptera; Vespertilionidae. The record is from RNAcentral.
GUGCUCGCUUCGGCAGCACAUAUACUAAAAUUGGAAUGAUACAGAGAAGAUUAGCAUGGCCCCUGCACAAGGAUGACACGUAAAAAGGAGUAACUGGAAGGGGGAAAUCAAAGUAU